GCGGCGGACGGGUGAGUAAUGCCUAGGAAUCUGCCUGGUAGUGGGGGAUAACGUCCGGAAACGGGCGCUAAUACCGCAUACGUCCUGAGGGAGAAAGUGGGGGAUCUUCGGACCUCACGCUAUCAGAUGAGCCUAGGUCGGAUUAGCUAGUUGGUGGGGUAAAGGCCUACCAAGGCGACGAUCCGUAACUGGUCUGAGAGGAUGAUCAGUCACACUGGAACUGAGACACGGUCCAGACUCCUACGGGAGGCAGCAGUGGGGAAUAUUGGACAAUGGGCGAAAGCCUGAUCCAGCCAUGCCGCGUGUGUGAAGAAGGUCUUCGGAUUGUAAAGCACUUUAAGUUGGGAGGAAGGGCAGUAAGUUAAUACCUUGCUGUUUUGACGUUACCAACAGAAUAAGCACCGGCUAACUUCGUGCCAGCAGCCGCGGUAAUACGAAGGGUGCAAGCGUUAAUCGGAAUUACUGGGCGUAAAGCGCGCGUAGGUGGUUCAGCAAGUUGGAUGUGAAAUCCCCGGGCUCAACCUGGGAACUGCAUCCAAAACUACUGAGCUAGAGUACGGUAGAGGGUGGUGGAAUUUCCUGUGUAGCGGUGAAAUGCGUAGAUAUAGGAAGGAACACCAGUGGCGAAGGCGACCACCUGGACUGAUACUGACACUGAGGUGCGAAAGCGUGGGGAGCAAACAGGAUUAGAUANCCUGGUAGUCCACGCCGUAAACGAUGUCGACUAGCCGUUGGGAUCCUUGAGAUCU
RNAcentral lists this ribosomal RNA (749 nucleotides) under uncultured Pseudomonadales bacterium. RNAcentral describes it as "bacterial SSU rRNA". It matches the Rfam family "Bacterial small subunit ribosomal RNA", at positions 95 to 840 of the family's 1533-position model. Lineage: Bacteria; Pseudomonadati; Pseudomonadota; Gammaproteobacteria; Pseudomonadales. The record is from RNAcentral.